Long non-coding RNA from Gallus gallus (chicken), 9424 nucleotides. RefSeq lists it as uncharacterized. The transcript has 2 exons. The record is from RefSeq and is a predicted model, not a curated record. Lineage: Eukaryota; Metazoa; Chordata; Aves; Galliformes; Phasianidae.
ACCGGAGGACCACGGCAGCCCUCUCUCUGCGGCGGGACCCCGGGCUGCACCGCGGGGCCACAAAGGAGCGAAGGAGAAAGCACUGCCAGGUGUCGGGGGGAACGCACGAUGGGAACGUACCCACCCGAGACAGAGGGAGCGUUCCCCGGCUCGCUGCCUUGCUGAAGGGCUCCAGCCAAUGGGUGGUUUGGCUACAAAGCGCAGCGACCCCCAGACCACAGCGGGGGAUCCCGCUGAGCCCCGCAGCCCCCGGCUCGGCACGGCACGGCACGGUUCUCACCUGCGCGGAUCGUGCACCUCCACCGAGAACUUCUUCUCGCGGAAAUAGAGGUUCUCCAGCUGCCUCCAUUGGAAGAUCUGCCGGGAGAAGGAGGGGGUGAGGCUCCUCCGCGCUAAGCCCUGCCCGCUCCCUGCCCUCCGCCCCGCUCUCUCUCCCGACGCCGCGCCGGGGCUGCCCCGCUCCGCCCCGCUCCGCCCCGCCCGGCUCGACGCGGCGCCGCUCCACCGCAACGGAGCGAAGCAGGAGGUGGGGACGGACGGACGGACGCGUCCCUGCGUUCUUUGCUUGCGCGGCACGCUUUCACUUUGCGGAUUAACUACAACGAGGAAAAGUUACAGGAAAGCGAGGAUUCGGCCGCUUUCUCCUGCUUUCGAGGGUGCUCGGCCGAGCCCCCGGGCUUUUGCGGCGCACAGAGCUGGCGUGGCGUUGUAGGGCAGCCCCCGGGGGGGGCUCACACCUCUGCGCUGCGAGGAGCGUAAAGGCACUCGGCGCUCCGCCCUGCCUUCACCCCGGCUCGCCCUGCCAAUGGGAAGCAAAGCGGUGUGAGUUUAUCUGGGGUGCUGACAGCACUCGUGUUGGCGGUGCCUGGGGGUUGAGUAGGGCUGCAGCGUGCCAGCGGCGCUCAGAAGCACAGGAAUCAGCACGUCGUGUUGUUCUUGCCUCCCUGUAGGGAUCCUGCUACAACAGGGGCUCGGACUCGAUCCUCAGAGGUCCCUUCCAAUCCCUACGACGCUGUGAUUCCGCGCUUCUGUUUUACAGGCGCAUCUCAAAGCACCACCAAAACGUUACCGCUGGAGGGGAACCGAAGGCACGGAGCGAGGCACGGAGUGACCCGCACCGAGUGACCCGCUCCCCGGUGCCCUCGCUGCUUAGUAAGCGUGGGCAGGUCUCAGGGACUCAGCCCGCCCUCUGAGUGUGCAGCUCCCGGGCACUGGGACGCCGCAGAGGCCGCGUCUCGCUGCCCUUACCCACGCCUCGUGCAGGAGUGCCUGCCACGCAGCAGCCCCGGGCGGGAGGGAGGGCAGCGUAGAAGUAGCAGUAGCACGCGGUGACUGCAGCCAACACACUGCGGGCAGCUCCGCCCGCCUCCACAUCCUUACAAAGAACUGAGCCCAAAUCCAAACCCUGGCUUCCAGGCUCUUCAUCCACCCGCGGGCAUCCCAGCACUGCUUCUCGCUCAGGGCCGGUUACCUCUGCCGGGAGCAGAGCCAGCAGAGCUCUCCCUGAUUUAUGCUCCCUCUCCCACUACAAGCAGCUUCUGUUGAGUUCCUGUCCGACCCCCAAGGAAGGAGCUGAGUCCUGCCACGCUGAGAUAAGCCGCUCGCCAGUGUCAGCACUCUGGAGAUCGGCUCUCAGCGCACUUCAGCAGAGCUUCAAAGGCAAGAAAAGGAAGUUUGGGGCCCAAACUCCCACUGACAGCACCAGGGGUCAAGCAUGAGACUGCCACGUGGGCCUCCAAAAACACCCCUCCGUGCUUCCAGAUGCCCAUCUGUCUGCGGGGAUGGUAACACAGUGUGUGCAGAGGACGUGUCUGGGAAGCGCUCAGACAUGUGGAACACAUAAGCAUCUAAAAAGCAGCAGUUCACACCCUUUGGAAAACAUCCCUCUGUCCCUGUGUCCCCUGUUGUCAUUUUGGCAUGAAGUAGGAAUUUGAAACCCUUUUUCUAAGCUGUUGGCAGCUGUUCUGCUGGGGGAGUUUGUGCAAGAAGCAACUCAGGUAGAUGAGAUGCCUGUGCAACCCGUUCUCCUCUGCCUGGGACUGUCCCCUGUGUACUUAUCCUGCCUUAUUCUGUCUUCUCUGCUAACGAAGCUCACAGUGCUCAGCUCAUUAAGUGCAGCUACGCUUCCCUCCCAUGAUUAAUUCCAACUGUCCAAACACAGCGGCUCUGGGGGAGCUUUCAACCAGCCAGGAGCAGGCGCCGAGUGCUAUUUCUCGUGCCCCGGGGUGCCCCAUGUGGCCCUGGCUGCUGCCCCAGGAGGGCGUGAGUGUGGCUUUACAGCUUGAGUUUGGGUCUUUUUUUCCAUAGCACUACUCUCCAGGACAUACUUGUGUGUUUUACCACUGCUGUAACUCACCCUUUCUGCAGCCUCCCACUCGUUUUGCCCAUAUUGAUCUGAGAGGUCUCACCCUCUUACACACAGGGAAUACAAUCUGCAAAAGUGUGAAUACCCACAAGAAGGUAUCUGCUUUCUUACUAGCUGAUCACCACCUCUCAGGAGAAACUGCCUAAUUUCUCUCUUCAGCCAGACCUCCUAAUGUAAGCAAGCUGUUCCCUUCAACCAGUUGCCUGGCUUACGUAUGGUUUCAAAUUGAUGUUGUUAAUUCAGUGACAGAUGCACAAGGUGCCAUUAGUGGGUCUUAAAUGGAAGCAUAAUUUUUACCCAUCAAGAUCCUUUUACCAUGCUGGUGCUUACAACCUUCACUGGGGAAUAAGAGCCGCAGCAGCGAGCUGGUUAUAAUUUCAGUGCUGCCUUCUGGACAUGCAGCUACAACAGAAACAUGCAGGUUUUGGAGUGCCACUUUUGGGGUUAGCUUCAGUCAGAGCAUCCAAGUUCAUGGCAGAUUUGCUUUUUCCUGCGCUGAAGCUGAGUUUGGUUUUGUGUGGGAGUUGUAUUGUUGAGAUGGACAACCACAGUUCCAUCCUUCACCUGACCAAAGGUACAUCACGGCAGGGACAGGGACAGCACGUCCCCAGACACGCUGGAAAUGAGGCUUGGGAGAAAGCCACUCAGUAAUACAAGCACAGUUCCCCUGCCCUUUAGAAGCUGCUCUUACUUGGAGCCUGCAGACAAGGGGACAAUUAGUGGUGCUUGCGGCAGAGUGAGCUUCUAUGAUGUGGUGGUUUGUCCACUGGGAUCUCUUCUGAGGUCAGCAGCUCAUUUUGGAUCAUGCAGCACUGGGCAGCUUUCAGAUGGGAACAAUUUUUGCUAGUUGCCAUCAUUACAAGCUGCACAUGAGAUCAUUCAACCUUCAGCAUAUGCUUAAGGAAGUCUCCCUGAGACUGGCUUCGGAGCACAGCUGCACACUCAUGCAUGCACGUGAAUGGGAAAGGGACUGCUGAAGAAGAAAAGCGUUACCCUUAUUUCCUUCUCCUCUGAGUCAGGGAGUCUGCACUGCAGGCUCUGAUUCAUCGUGCCAAUAGAGCCGGAACCAGAGCUAUCACUUGAGUUUGCAAGACUGCUUAUCAAACUGCUGACAUGCAAGGGGAAACCUGGGGAACAAUUGUUCCCUGUCAGACUAUGCAUACUGUUUCAAAUGUUUGGAGUGGGUGGGGGGGCUACAAUGCAGAAAGCAGUGCCAGAAAUGGCUUUUUUUGCAAAGCUGGCAGCUUAGAAAAGGAGCCAGGGGAGGGAUCUGAGUGGUAUACGGUGCACUGUGGAGAAUUCAGGUGCAAGCUACGGGAAUUUUGUCUUUGGAAACCCCUUCCAAGAGGCAGGCAAGCUCGCCAGGCACCAGAUGUUUAUGACUAGUUACAAAGAGCUGCAGUCAAAGCCCUUCAGAUGCAAGCUUCUUUUGUGAGCACACUUGUGGUUUGCUAGCUGCUCCCUAAUUAAGCUGAGCCUGGAGGAGAGGAGGCCCAGGGAUCUGCAUCCGUUUCAGCCAUAUGAGUCUGAAGAAGUUUUUUACCUUUUUUAUUGGCUGUGGGGCUGGUGCGGUGGAGUUUGCACAUAGCAGGAGGUAGGGUCAGUGUGAGUGCAUUUGAGGAAUGCCAGAGGCUCCUGAUAAAGAAGGGAGCGUGUUUUUUGAAUGAGCAUAGAGGAGCCUUUCUGGGUUGGUCACUCAUGCCUGGAUGACUGGGACUUCACUGAUGCGUAGGGAGCUCAGGUUAUCUGUCCUAGGCACUGGGCUGUGCUCAGGAAUCCUUGUUUGCAUGCUCCAAAGAGGGACCAUCCAUGCAUUUGGGAACUCCUGGCAGUAAUGAAGCUGAAGGACAGCAAAGGUGCUUGGUGCCCAUUAAUCAUCAUAUCAUAAAAUCACAGAGUGCUUAGGUUGGAGGGGAGCAAGAAGAUCAUCUAGUUCCAAUCCCCCUGCCAUGAGCAGGAUUGCCAGCUGCCAGCUCAGGCUGCCCAGGGCCCCAUCCAGCCUGGCCUUGAGCACUUCCAGGGAUGGGGAACCCACAGCUUCUCUGGGCAGCAGUGCCAGUGCCUCACCACCUUCUGAGUAAAAAAAUUCUUCCUAAUGUCUAACUGAAAUCUUCUCUCUUUUAGUUCAAAGUCACCCCCCCCCCCCCCGCCUUGUCUAUCACUAUCAGACCAUGCAACAAGUCAGUCUCGCUCCUGCUUGUAAACUUCAAGGACUGGAAGACUGCAUUGAGAACCAGACGUAAAUGCCCGAAUAUGUGGUGUCUUUUUCCUUUUUCUAUGUGUAUGUUUUGCCCUGAAGCACCUGAGAUAAGGCAGUAGAGUGGGGUUACUCAGCAAUGCACAUGCUCUUGGUAGUUUCAGAUAUCAAGCCUGGUAGCUGUUUCAAAUCAGUUCAUCUGCAGAAGUCUGUGGAGGAUCUAUCUGCUGUUUUUCUGCUGUCUUUGGUGACCGAAGGGGAGUUACUAAGGAAAUGGAGCCAGACGUUUCUGAGAGGUGCUUAGUGGCAAGAAAAGAGGCAACAGGCAGAGGUUGCAGCAACAGAAAUUCUAACCAGAUAUAUGCAGGGAAAAACAAAACACGGUCAGUACUGUAGAGCUGUGAGCAACUUGAAUGACUUUGAAGCUGGCCUAACUGAGCAGGAGGUUGAGCUCUUUGUCCUAUAUUUUUCUUAGAUUCUAAGCAUCUAAUAAAUGACCAACAGUGAUUGCUGUUGGUCUCACAUGGCAUCUCCCAGCCCUGCCAGUUUCACAGCUUCUUGAAUGAUUAAUUCCUUGUUAAAUCAUAGUAUGCAGAAGGAACAAUCAUCCCUCUAAAUGCACGUCGAUGACUGGGUGCUCUGAGGGGCUUCUAGGAAAGGCAAGGAAAUAAUGUGACAUAUUUUCUAACAGUUCAAAUGCAACCCCUUUACUCUCCUAUGCUAUGGGCAAGAGUCACAACCCUGGAUGACAUCCUGGUAAUAAAACUGGCACUAAACAAUAAAACCAAACAAUGGCAGUGUUUUCACACAGCUUGCAUAAGUACAGCUACAAACGCCCAAGUCUUUUCUUGUUCAGUUUAAAGAUGAAACAAACACAACAAAAAAUUUCCUCUCUGGAUAUCUGAUUUCCUCCUCUGAACAAACCAGCAACGAAAAUUCUAGGGGCUGAGUUAUGUGGGAGGUCAGGGCGGAGGUUAUAAACAGUCCCUUUCUGGCUUUAAACUCGACAAAAAUCACAGCUCCAUCAAAGUCAAUGGCAGUUUUGUCCCAAUUGUUUCAGUGGGGCUAUGGUUUUCAUGCAUGGGUUUGUGUUCUGCCUCAAGCCAACCCUGCUCCCAUCAAUCAUAUCUCUGUCAAACUAGUUAGUUAGAAAGAACGAAGAAGGAUUUGAUCCAGGCAGCACCAACUCAGCUCAAACAAAUGGGAUCUUGUUUCAGGGACAGAUUUACCAAGAGAUUUCCACGGGCUGUCACCUGUGAAUUAGCCUGACCCUCUGCUGAGGGUGCCCCACAGGUCAUGAGAUGAGGAUGCCGCUGUACUAUAACUUAGCCCUCUAUCCUGCCAUGCCUUCCAUUCAUUCCUGUAUUUCAAUUAGUUUGGGCUUUUUUUUUUUUCUCCUUCCUAGAACAACAACAACAAAAAAAUUAUGAGGUUUCCUGUGUGAUUUGAUGUGGGGAAAAAACCCAUCAAUGAUCUUCCCAGAGGCUUGCUGUCCUCCCCUUCCCCAUGGAAUGAGAGAGUGGCUUGGCUAAGCAGGACUUUUGGUGGUCUGUCAACAACCCCAGCACACUAUCUAAUUACUUCCCCUUUGGCUGCAGGGCUCUUUCUCUGCCAAACAGUUUCUAGUUCAGUUUGAGAUCAUUCUUGCUGUGUGCUGUUCUCAUGGGACCACACCCCACCAACAAACGUUUCUAGCUUGACCAAACAGAAAUUGCAUCUGUAUCUAUAUAAUCACCACUUUGCAUUUAUUUCCAUUAUGAAGAGACAAUUCCCUACUAAAUUUCAAAGUGGUUUACUGGCUCAGAGAGGCAGUAAAGCAUCAGCUCACAGAGGGAAGAGCUGUCGUUUGGACAAAACAUUAUUUGUCUACAUAAUGUAACUCAAUAUUUGUGUCUAUAACUGUAUACAGACUGGGAAACCAGACUUUGGGUUUAUAUACAUGACUGAAUCCAUCUUCAAUGCACAUAUAUUUGUCAAAUACUGUUAGGUACUGCACUGCUGUCAACAUUCUGGUUGCCUGUAAAAUUCUAAAUCAAUAUAUAUAUUUCUGAUUUUUAUACAUUAAAUUUUCUCUUUCCUCUACAAGCAAAUCAAAGCGACACUCUUUCUGCACUGAGGAUUCUAACACUAUAUUCUGUGUAUUACACAAAGGAUGCCCAAGCUAUAGCACAUGAAUCAGCUAUGGAUGACUGAUUUAUACCACCAGAAACCAUUCCUGCCAUUUUCUUUCCUGAAGAUCCUCUUGCCUUCUGUACUGGCAUGACUAAAGCACAUCUAUCUUAAGACCAAAAUACAGGAACUCCCAUCCCAUGCCCAGUCAUGCGAUGAUGAUGCAUAUGCCUAUUAGGUUGUGUGAAUGAAAACAUGACUGUGACACAGGGUGUCUGUAAGUAGGGUCACACAACAUGCAUGCAGCUCUGGGUUGCAAUGCACAAUCUUCUGAGCCUACUGCCCAAGCCACUCAUUUAAAGAUGCCUCAUAUUCAUAGCCAAUGAAUAGCUGGGCCCUUGCUUGGCUUCACCUGGUAAUAAAAGUACUCAGGCUUUUGGAACGACAAGACGUGGGGAUGGUGGGGCACAUGAGAAGCCUGCUACCACUUCAAAGCCAAGCACAUGUGCUUGAGGAAGUUCCAGUCUUGCUCCAAAUCUCCACCCUAGAUCCAGAGUGCUGAAGUCCAAUUUGUUUCACUUUGUGCCAUCAGAGUCUUUGCAUCUUGUUGAAGUUCCUGCUGUGUGCUGCAGAAUCAUUCAAGACUUGGCUGCUGCUUUUAUAGAGAAUUACCCUUUUAAGACCUGAAUACAACACAGCACUUCAAGCAAGUGAGUUUUAUUUUGACGAGACUACUCCUAUAUUUAGUGGUAUUCAUGGGCUUGACUUGGCUGCAGCAAGGGAUAGGAUGUCAUGCUGUAGUCUGUAGUGAAUGUAGAUUCUUGCAGAAAGCCCUGGAGCUUUACGCCUGACAGUAUCACCACAGUGUAUAUACAAUGAACCACCCAAAAUAACACUCGCCUCCUUCAAGACAGUGGUGCCCUAAACUACGUAUUAGUGUUUAUGGGUAUUAAAGAUGACCAAGCUACGUGUUUGCCUAAAUGAUAGACACUGAGCUUGACUAUUCUGUGAUUAGUUAACACAUUUUAAAAAGUUGCUUUCCCUACAUAGUGUCCUUAGUUGUCUGAGAUGAACCAUGUUUGGGAGAGAUGCUGAACCAAGCUUUUAUUAGCUUAUAUGCGAAAAAAAGUGGUGAUUAUUACCUGUAUGUAGCUGUUAAUUCAUUGAGAUUGAACCACGACAAAGCCCAUGGAGUCAAAUGCUUCCCAUCUUCUUCUGAGCUGUGAAGCCCUUAUCUUGUUCCACAAUAUUAUUGUGUAGUUCAGUAGAGGUUUCUUUCACUGAUUUAUGUGGCUGUGAUUUAUUCAGCCUGCACCCAUACUCUGCUACUACAGUUGUGCCAGUGUUGCUUACUGUGGACCAGAUGGUGAAUGAGUUUGAGCACCGAUCAAUGUUAAAAGUGACUGUUUUCUUUUUGGCUGAGUUACACUGAGCUUUGAUCACUUCUCUGGGGCAGUUUCCUUCCUGGCCACACAAUUAUACCAGCGUGACUGAGGAAGAGGAGGAAGUGAACAGUGGUAGCAGGACUGGUAUAGGGUAGGAGAGUGAAGGCCACUUAAGCUAGUGCUGCUGCCAGAAGAAAUAUUCAAUGAAUGAAUGCCUAGUGGUAUGUCUGACCAAAGCCUGCGGAAGUCUUCUGCCUCAGGGACAAAAUCUUGCUUUCCGGCCCAGUGUGCUCUGAUCCGAUUUAUUCAUCUCCUGUUCAGAACUUUCUGGCACAGUGGGGUGCAGCAGCCAGGCUGAGGCAGGUGCUGAGGCAGGAAGAAAAGGUGGGGGCAGGAAGGAAAAAGAAGAGCCUGGUGCUGAAUGGUAGACACUCCAAAUUGAGACAAGCAGCAGCAAAAAAGGUGCUACAGAGAAAAUGGUUUCCUGCAUAACAGGUAUGGGAUAAAUCCUUUUCAGCAAGGGAAGGUCUUAAACUGUCACUGCUCUUCAGUGGUCACAGGUCUGGAUCUUACAUAAGGAAAUGGGGUGAACAGCCUCUUCAACGAGAAGAAAGAGCAGGGUAAGGAACUUCACUUUAUAUAUGUCUCCCUCUCCAGUGCACCACAUUUCCAAACACUAAACCAAGACUGAAUUACUGCGCUAUAAAAUGAGUUGAACCCGCCAUGACCUGAAGACUGGUUCAGUUUACAGCCAAGUCCAUAAUCCAAAAAGCAUGAAGGAUCAGCAAAGGGAAGAGAAAUAAAAGUGUUGAGCAGAAAGAGUCAGCAGGUAGUCCUUAACAGUCAGCUAAUCACAGUGAAUAAUGUAUUACAGCAAUGCCACUGAGACUCCGCUAGAUUUUAUAAACCAGUAUUUCCUGGAAAUGUUUUCUGCUCCUCUUGCAUCAUUUGUAAACCUGAAAACUUUUAUCCCUGCCUGCAAUGCAAAGAUGUUUCCAAAGGUCUUAGGAAAUUAUGCCGUUCCAAGAACAGCCCAGUUCUUUCUGACCCCAUCAGACGCUGGAUGCUCUCGAGAAAGGCCAGCUUUGGCUGACUAUAUGCUGUGGCUGAGUGGCAUGGUGCUGAGAGAAGUGUUAUGCAUGCUCCAUAACUCUGACAACUGAAACCAUCUUGCUGCCAAAUCAAACAUCCUUCAUGAACGUGAGAGCUUAUAACACCUCCAGAAAUCCUGUCUGAAUAGAGCUGAUUCUGUGUUGUAACUAUGGAUGUUUCCCAUACAUUCUUUAAGUCUUAUCUUUAACCCUUCUAUGCUCUUGAUCUCUAAUGUAUGUGUGUGAACUGGGCUCCCUUUAAACCAUUUGAAAAUCA